This 32-nucleotide ribosomal RNA is filed under the name Desmodesmus subspicatus var. simplex. Its description in RNAcentral is "partial 26S ribosomal RNA". Lineage: Eukaryota; Viridiplantae; Chlorophyta; Chlorophyceae; Sphaeropleales; Scenedesmaceae. RNAcentral also lists the same sequence under 1 other name. The record is from RNAcentral.
UGUAUUCGACCUGAGCUCAGGCAAGGCUACCC